RNAcentral lists this ribosomal RNA (253 nucleotides) under uncultured bacterium. RNAcentral describes it as "partial 16S ribosomal RNA". It matches the Rfam family "Bacterial small subunit ribosomal RNA", at positions 524 to 776 of the family's 1533-position model. The record is from RNAcentral.
UACAGAGGUCCCAAGCGUUGUUCGGAUUCACUGGGCGUAAAGGGUGCGUAGGUGGCCGGGUAAGUCUGACAUGAAAUCUCCGAGCCUAACUCGGAAACUGCAUCGGAUACUAUCCGGCUUGAGGGUUGGAGGGGGGACUGGAAUACUUGGUGUAGCAGUGAAAUGCGUAGAUAUCAAGUGGAACACCAGUGGCGAAGGCGGCUCACUGGCCCGAUACUGACGCUGAGGCACGAAAGCGUGGGGAGCAAACAGG